RNAcentral lists this long non-coding RNA (546 nucleotides) under Pan troglodytes (chimpanzee). RNAcentral's name for it is "lincRNA". Lineage: Eukaryota; Metazoa; Chordata; Mammalia; Primates; Hominidae. The record is from RNAcentral. RNAcentral also lists the same sequence under 1 other name.
AGCUAGCCUUCAGAUUUGUCUGCUAACAGUAAAAAUACUAUAAUAAAUCGGUAACAUAUGUUGCCAGGCAAGGAAAAGUGAUAUAAAUAAAGAGACUGGGAGACCCAAACCAAAUUGCAUUCUUACCCAAAUACUCUUCGUGAUUGCCUGCUUUGCGGCUUUGGGCCGAUGCAAGCUGCAAAAUGGCGAGUCUUCUAAGGUGCCUUUCCUUCCCUGGGAUCCUCAUCUUAGAAUGAGCAGAGGCACAUCGAUAAGAACUGGACCUUGAUUUCACAACCUCAUACAAAGCCAGGCAAUUCUUGAGCCAAACAAAGGGGGUGUAAGCUAUUUCAUUUAUUUUGAUAAUCCUCCUCUUGCACGGGAGCAUUUUGCUGUCUUUGUCAAAGUGAAUGACAACAAUUUGGCCAACUCUCUCUGAGCUGCACUCAACAGUGACAGGCAAAUUAUCAGAGGCCCUGCACUUCUUAUUAUCAGAGGAGAAGCCAUCAGGGGGACGCAUGGAGGAUACCUCUCCCUUGUCACUAUUUGUCAGUGGGACAAGGGCCA